GAGAGUGCUGAUGUGUCUUGUACUGUCAACUUAAAUAUCUCCAUACAGACAUGACAUAUAUCACUUCACUUCCAACCCAUUGGCUCUCCAGUGUGCCUAGAAGGAAAAGAGAAACAAACAGCCGCCAAUCAGGAAAGAAACAUAACGGGAGCAAGUGCUGGCUUUGCCUGGAAUUGAGCCGUCCUGCCCAAAGCAAAAGGGAAAAAUGAACUCUAGCAGAGUCGUGUCAGUUAAUGAAGGCUCCAGAAGGGCCGUUCUGGGGAGGACAUGAGGCACAAGGUAUAAGGCCACAGAGAGGAGCCACGAACUAUCAAGGAGAUGUGAAUGUAGAGACAAGAGGUGAAAAUGGUUAAUUGCAAAAAGUGUACGAGAGUUAUACCAGCAAGUGUUGUCAUACUCGGGAUGGCAGUGGAAUGUGCAGAAAUACGAAGACAUCGUAGGGAUUUCUGUUUCUAGCCUUGAUAAAGUAAUAAUGACUGGAUUUACCCUCUCAAGCAAUCUUAAAAUGGACAAAAUAUAUGCAACAACAGAUUUCGGACACUGGACAACAGGUGGGCAGGAGAAGGAUCCGGGAACAAAUGAGGAAAGUAUAAAGCAGAAAAUGAAUCAGUGCACUACACUGGUCUGGAGACACGGCUAUUUCAUGCUCAACAUAUGAUGACCCUUCUACGUGCACCUAAAUGUAGCAACAACUUUCAACUGUUGCCCAAGACUUCACUAAGACCUGGCUCCUGAGUUACCAGAAAACAUUUUGUAGAGUCACCAAUAUAAGAGAGAAUGAUAGUGUGCUUACUAUUUCCUUUGCCUGAGUUCUUUCCUUCAGACAUCUGCGUUUCUGUGUUCAAUGUUACCUUACAGACAGGCUCUCAGGGACAAUACUGUAGAAAACAGAAUCCCAUUCCCCACUCAGAACUCUGUAUCUUGCAGCUCUGCUUGUCUUCUCAGCUUUUGUGAUCACUAGACAUAUGUUGAAUUUAUUUAUGAGCAUUG
This is a long non-coding RNA of Panthera uncia (snow leopard), 990 nucleotides long. RefSeq lists it as uncharacterized. NCBI's taxonomy places the organism in Eukaryota, Metazoa, Chordata, Mammalia, Carnivora, Felidae. The transcript has 6 exons. The record is from RefSeq and is a predicted model, not a curated record.